Molecule: long non-coding RNA, 591 nt
Organism: Gallus gallus (chicken)
Lineage: Eukaryota; Metazoa; Chordata; Aves; Galliformes; Phasianidae
Source: Ensembl
CUCUGUCCUGAGUGAGACAAUCUUGCUGUGAUGUGAGGCAGUCCAAAUCCCAGACGUUCGGCUGCAGCCCCUACAUCAGAUGUUGCUGAGACCUGCUGAGCUCACUGCGAGGGGGACAACUGAUGCUCUCCCUGACACUGGGAGAUGGCUGACAUGGGUAUUACCAGGACAGCUUUCAAGUCUCGGCUUCUGAACUAAGGGAGCAAAUGGAGGCAAAUCAGGGUCAGCUUUGGCUCAAGGCAGUCCUACGGAGGCUCCAGGGAAAAGGGCAGUUUCAGUCUGUCUGGUGAUGGCCCGUUAAGGAGGAGGACGAUCAUGGGUUUCUACAUGCCUACAGCAUGGCUGACUGGCCACAGCAGGAAAAGACUAUGCCACGGACUGCUCUUUUUCUGUUACCUGCGGGUGACCUUUGAAAGAAUAUGGUUGGACAAUGGCUUGUGGUCAGAGUGCUGCUGGAAAUUCAGAGGCUGCUAAAUGCAACACCACUGUUUGGAAUGCAGUGUGAUUUCUGUGCACAGGCACAGCUCCUGUAGUCUGCAGUUCUUGGAUAUCAGAGAGGAAUUGCACGCUCUUCCCCUGUCUGUAUCUUAC